GAUGAACGCUAGCGGCAGGCUUAACACAUGCAAGUCGAGGGGUAACGAUGUCUUCGGACAGGCGACGACCGGCGCACGGGUGAGUAACGCGUAUGCAACCUGCCUUCAACAGGGAGAUAGCCCGAAGAAAUUCGGAUUAAUAUCCCAUAACACCACAGUGUCACCUGGCACCAUGGUUAAAGCUCCGGCGGUUGAAGAUGGGCAUGCGUGUCAUUAGUUUGUUGGUGAGGUAACGGCUCACCAAGACUACGAUGACUAGGGGGUCUGAGAGGAUGGUCCCCCACACUGGUACUGAGACACGGACCAGACUCCUACGGGAGGCAGCAGUGAGGAAUAUUGGUCAAUGGGCGCAAGCCUGAACCAGCCAUGCCGCGUGCAGGAUGACUGCCCUAUGGGUUGUAAACUGCUUUUAUACGGGAAGAAACUGUCCUACGUGUAGGACCCUGACGGUACCGUAAGAAUAAGCAUCGGCUAACUCCG
RNAcentral lists this ribosomal RNA (480 nucleotides) under uncultured Bacteroidales bacterium. RNAcentral's name for it is "bacterial SSU rRNA". It matches the Rfam family "Bacterial small subunit ribosomal RNA", at positions 28 to 505 of the family's 1533-position model. Lineage: Bacteria; Pseudomonadati; Bacteroidota; Bacteroidia; Bacteroidales. The record is from RNAcentral.